UGGGGCCUGUGGGAACACAAGCGGAGCCCUGAAGGCUGACACCCUUCCUCAGGUCCAGCCAUUGCUGCUACUCAAGAAUCCCAGUGGAGAGAUGCCGGCUCUUCUGAUGACUCAUGACGAGCUCCACAGGUUUUAGGGGAAAGAAAUAGCAGCAUCAGUGGAUACAGAGUCAAAUGAUUUCUCUCCCAGGCUGCAUCUGUCCUCCAGUUCUUCCAUCAGUCUUCAUCAUCUCCCGGACUGUGUGCAGACAAAAAUCUUCUGAGAGAAGCCAGGCCUCUGUCUGCAGUCUCCUACCCCAUGACACGCUGUGCCCUAGGGCACUAGAUGGAGCUCUAUGGAAACAUUUCUAGGGGUAUGGAAGGUACUGGAGAAGAGGAGCUAAUGAGUUUGCAGGAUUGGAAUCUUUCAACCGGAACUGAGCAUUGCUCACAGGGACCCUGCCUCACAGAGGGCACCUUCUGAUGGAUGGCCUAUUUCUAGACCAUUGACUCUGUGGGUUAUACAUAGAAACACCAAGGGAGCUGGAGCCAUAGGAGUCUUCCUUAGGUUAUCUUAUGCCAGAGACAGUUAAGGCCCUGAGCCUCACGCAGAGGCCCAGGGUGAAAUGUCACCUUUGUCAUAUAUAGCUGGCCAAGUUUGGGUGAGGUCUUUGAUUUCUCUGAGAACCAGUGUCGUGUUCUCUAAAGCGGUGCAGACAAGUCCUCUUUCAUGCAGCUGGUCUAAAGACUAAAUGAUGGAGACCGCAAAUGUAUAAGGUCUGCAGAUAGGAACUAAAUGCAUAUGUCUCCAUGCAAGCACACACGUGGGUGUGGGAAGGCAAAUGCCCUUGGUAAUUAACAAGGGUUGAAAAUGCUAAUUCAGUCACCUGACCCCUCCUUUGUUCCUUAAACCUAGCAGCAAAGUGUUAGGCAUUGGAAAAGGAUAAAGUGAGGAGCAUAAGAAAGCUUGGCACCAUAUCAACUCAUUUCUAAAUCCUCCAAGCAUUUUUUUCAUCAUAACGUGUCUCCUUUUAACCUUGCAAGCCCAGAGAUAUUAAUAGUAAUGCUAACAUUACAGCUGACACAUAACAUUGAGUGGCAAGCAAUUUUCUAAAUAUUUUGCAUGCACAAAUUCAUUUAAGCUUCCUAAUGAUACUACAAGAUUGGUUCUAUUAUCAUUCUUAUUUUAUGUAUAAAGUCAUGGAGUCAUGCAUAGAAUAAUUUUCCAAUUUCACAUGCAGAGAAGGGAGAGUUUCCUCAUCUCUUCUAGGACUCCUGGCUAGAUGGGAAGUAAAAGACGACAAAAGCAGGAUAACAAGAGAAAGCCAGAACAAAUUUAUUCAGUCAGAAUUUUCCAUGACACAGGAAGCGUUAGAAUGAAGACCUGGAGACUCAGGGAAGAUCUGUUUUUAUGCUUAGUUUUAAUGAAGACUGGACAACCAUUAAAAAUGUGAUUGAACAAAAGGUCCUCAUGUAAUAGUAAUAGGCUGGAUUUCAUGGAGGCCUAUGCAGAUUCUUGUGGUCUCUCUGGGUAACAUUCCUGCCUGCUGGGUAUAUGGUGGGAUCUCUUCUGGGAAGUUUCCUGUGACCUACUAUCAUACGAGGGGAGGUGGAAAAUUUUCUUUUAGAUAGUUCUUACACAGAAAGCUGGGAGAAGGUGAGUCAUAUUUCCGGGUUUUAUGGCUGGUUUUGGGGAAGAGAGAUUCUAAUGUCUGGGACCUGCCCUGGGGGAAAAGGGGACCAGGAAAUUGAAGGGCAAGAGAAGGUCAGAACUAUGUUGCUUGUGACACUCUUUCCCUCAGUUAAAGGGUUAAGUACGCUGAGGGCGCCUCAUAUACUGUGUUCUAACUCUGACACACAUAAGUAUUUAUUGGCAUAACCAUGUUUUGUUAUUUUUAAUUUAAGUGUAAUUUAUUGUUAAAAAAUACUAGUGGUCAUAUGAGUUGUUAGAAAAAAGUGUUAUCAGAACAUUUUCCCAGUGUUGCCACAAGCCUUCAGAUUGUGAAAACAACACGUAAAACACGUGGUCUCUAGCAGGCACAAUCAAGCAAAGUGUGACAAAACAAGGUAUGCUUGUCGCUGCAGCUCAAAUGUUUCAUUCUGCCAUUAGUCUUCCGAUCAUAUCUGUUUUUCUUUCCUCUGUUCCACCUUGAGAGUUUAUCAAAGAGUUUCAGUAUUCCAUUUUAAGUCCUCUAUUGACUUUUGUGCUAUUCUUAUUGACUGAAUGUUUGUUGGCUCCCAAAAUCCAUAUAUCAAAAUCCCAAUGCUCAAUUGUGGUGGAAUUAACAGAUGAAGUCUUUGGUAGGUGAUAAGGUCAUGACAGUGGAGCGAUCAUUAAUGGGAUCGGAGCCUUUGUAAAAAGAGAUUCCAGAGCUCAGUCUUUCCUUCUGUUAUGUAAGGACACAUUGACAUGAUGACUAUCUGUGAACCAGAAAGCAGGGCUCCGGUAAACACUGAAUCUCACGCUGCCUAGAUCUAGAUUCUGCCAACUUUCAGAACUGUAAGAAAUAAAUGCUGUUGUUUAAAGACA
This is a long non-coding RNA of Chinchilla lanigera (long-tailed chinchilla), 2508 nucleotides long. RefSeq lists it as uncharacterized. NCBI's taxonomy places the organism in Eukaryota, Metazoa, Chordata, Mammalia, Rodentia, Chinchillidae. The record is from RefSeq and is a predicted model, not a curated record. The transcript has 2 exons.